UUCCCUGUAGCUCAGUUGGUAGAGCAUGGCGUUUGCAACGCAUGAUGUUUGUAACGCCAGGGUUGUGGGUUCGAUUCCCAUGGGGGGGG
This 89-nucleotide transfer RNA is filed under the name Salmo salar (Atlantic salmon). It matches the Rfam family "tRNA". From Rfam's summary of the family: Transfer RNA (tRNA) molecules are approximately 80 nucleotides in length. Their secondary structure includes four short double-helical elements and three loops (D, anti-codon, and T loops). The record is from Rfam by way of RNAcentral. Lineage: Eukaryota; Metazoa; Chordata; Actinopteri; Salmoniformes; Salmonidae.